UUCCGGUUUAAUCCUUCCGGAGGCUCCCGCUUUUGGAGUUUCGAUUAAACCCNUGCGAUCGAGAUUUUUAGGGACUCGGGCGUACCGUCAGUAAACACGUGGUAACCUUCCUUAUGCUGGGGAAUACCCUCGGGAAACUGAGAAUAAUGCCCCCAUAUCCACAAUGCUGAACGGUUUGUGGAUCAAAGCUCCCGGCGGCAUAGGAUGGCCUUGCGGCGUAUCAGUUGUAGGGGGUGUAACGUACCCUCUAGCCAUCAACGCGUACGGGUGUUGGGAGACAUAGCCCGGAGAUGGAUUCUGAGACACGAAUCCAGACCCUACGGGGUGCAGCAGGCGCGAAAACUUGGCAAUGCGAGAAAUCGUGACCAGGGAACUCCAAGUGGCUGGGGUAAGACCCAGUCUUUUCUUGACUCUUCAAAGGUCUUGGAAUAAGGGGUGGGUAAGGACGGUGCCAGCCGCCGCGGUAAUACCGGCGCCUCAAGUGGUAGUCGAUUUUAUUGGGCCUAAAACGUCCGUAGCCUGUUUGGUACAUUCGUGGGUAAAUCAACCAGCUCAACUGGUUGAAUUCUGCGAGCACGGCCAGACUUGGGACCGGGAGAGGUGUGGGGUACGCUCAGGGUAGGGGUAAAAUCCUGUCAUCCUGAGCGGACCACCUGUUGCGAAGGCGCCACACUAGAACGGAUCCGACGGUCAGGGACGAAGCCUAGGGGCACGAACCGGAUUAGAUACCCGGGUAGUCCUAGGUGUAAACGCUGUGGACUUGGUGUUGGGGACUCUCCGAGAUUCCUCAGUGCCGAAGCGAAGGUGAUAAGUCCACUGCCUGGGGAGUACGGUCGCAAGGCUGAAACUUAAAGGAAUUGGCGGGGGAAGCACCGCAACCUGAGGAUUGUGCCGGUUUAAUUGGAUUCACGCCGG
RNAcentral lists this ribosomal RNA (915 nucleotides) under uncultured archaeon. RNAcentral's name for it is "bacterial SSU rRNA". It matches the Rfam family "Archaeal small subunit ribosomal RNA", at positions 1 to 921 of the family's 1478-position model. The record is from RNAcentral.